This 210-nucleotide long non-coding RNA is filed under the name Panax ginseng (ginseng). RNAcentral describes it as "long non-coding RNA (PGIN_LNC011684)". The record is from RNAcentral. Lineage: Eukaryota; Viridiplantae; Streptophyta; Magnoliopsida; Apiales; Araliaceae.
UGGAUUGCUUAUUCCACUGCAGUUGUUGAUCUAAAACUUGUUGUCUAUUGUAUUCUAUUAGUCGUUAUCUGUUGAAGGCUAAGGAUAAUUUAUUUUUCAUUAUUUUAGUCAUAAUAUUUCUUACCAGGCUAGUUGAGCUCACCCUUUUCUUUCACUAUUCUCUUUAGGAAAUGAGAAUAUAGCUAGGACUAGUCGGGGAAUGGAUUGACG